RNAcentral lists this ribosomal RNA (484 nucleotides) under uncultured bacterium. RNAcentral describes it as "partial 16S ribosomal RNA". It matches the Rfam family "Bacterial small subunit ribosomal RNA", at positions 30 to 507 of the family's 1533-position model. The record is from RNAcentral.
AUUGAACGCUGGCGGCAUGCCUAACACAUGCAAGUCGAGCGGAUGAAGGAGGCGUUCUCCUGGAUUCAGCUGCCGACGGGUGAGUAAGGACUAGGAAGAUGCCUUGUAUUGGAGACUAACGUACGUACACGGGCCCUAAUAUCACAUCCGUCAUUAUAUAGAAAGGGGGGGAUCUUUAGACAUCACCCUUUUUGCUGACCCUAGGUCGGAUUAGCUAGUUGGUUAGGUAACGGCCUACCAAGGCGACGAUCCGUAACAGGCCUGAGAGGAUGAUCAGUCACACUGGAACUGAGACACGGUCCAGACUCCUACGGGAGGCAGCAGUAGGGAAUAUUCGACAAUGGGCGAAAGCCUGAUGCAGCAAUGCCGCGUGAGUGAUGAAGGUCUUCGGAUCGUAAAGCACUGUUAGUUGGGAGGAAGAGAAGUAAGUUUAUACCUUCCCGUCUUGACGUUACCUACACAAUAAGCCCCGGCUAACUUCGUG